ACUAUGGCCUGGAUUUCCCUUUUGAAACAAAGUUGCUGUUGCAGUCCUUUUGUUUUCAAGAUGGAGUUUCGUCACUCAAGAUGCUGUCUCGGCUGGCCUUAAACUCUUGAUCUUCCUGGGUAAUGAGGAUUACAGAAACACAGCUUCAGAGGUGGCUCGAGACAUUGGCUUUGUCUGUACUGAAGAGACAAUGCUACUUUGGAUGUCAAAGACAAAGCUGGUAUCAUCCCGAGAAGAACUAAAGACAUCAUAUUACAUUGAUAUGCACAUGCCCAUGUUUACAGUAGUACAAUACAUAAUAGCUAAAUCUUGAAAGCAAUCUACGUGUGCAUCAGCAGAUGAAUAAAGAAAAUGUGAUAUUUGUGCACCAUGGAGUAUUACUCAGCCAUAAAGAAGAAUGAACGAGUCAUUUGUAAGAAAAUGCAUGUAUCUUGAAAUGAUAAUAUUAAGUGAAACAAAUCAGACACACAAGCUGAUAUAUCACAGAGUUUCUCUUAUAUGAGAAACCCAAAUAUAAAUGAAGAGCAAAAUAAAAAGAUAGAUAAUAGCAAGCAGGGAGGUAAAUCUUUCUUAAAUGAAAAAGGGAUUUAAAAAUGGGGGGUAAAAAAAACUGAGAUGUAUCAUGUACAUGUUAACAACUCCCCACAGUGAAUGCAAUCUUUAAUGCAAACAUGUACUAAUAAAAAAUAAACACUGAAAAAAGUUAAGAGGUUUGAAAGUGCAAA
This is a long non-coding RNA of Cavia porcellus (domestic guinea pig), 725 nucleotides long. RefSeq lists it as uncharacterized. The record is from RefSeq and is a predicted model, not a curated record. NCBI's taxonomy places the organism in Eukaryota, Metazoa, Chordata, Mammalia, Rodentia, Caviidae. The transcript has 3 exons.